UACGUAGGGGGCAAGCGUUGUCCGGAUUCAUUGGGCGUAAAGAGCUCGUAGGCGGCUUGGCAAGUCGGGUGUGAAACCUCCAGGCUCAACCUGGAGACGCCACCCGAUACUGCCAUGGCUAGAGUCCGGUAGGGGACCACGGAAUUCCUGGUGUAGCAGUGAAAUGCGUAGAUAUCAGGAGGAAUACCGAUGGCGAAGGCAGGUCUCUGGGCUGACACUGACGCUCAUGCACGAAAGCGUGGGGAGCAAACAGG
RNAcentral lists this ribosomal RNA (254 nucleotides) under uncultured bacterium. Its description in RNAcentral is "partial 16S ribosomal RNA". It matches the Rfam family "Bacterial small subunit ribosomal RNA", at positions 524 to 776 of the family's 1533-position model. The record is from RNAcentral.